CGUUUCGCUGGUCAAUCCAAGUUCAGUUUGGGAUAGCAAUAUCUCGGGCGUAUUCUUGUUGGUUGGCCAUUGUAAGCGUACACUGCAACCAGUUAGACAAUUGGCGAUGGGCCAAGUUGGGUAGAAGCCUCGGUGACUACUUAACGAAGUGCUUGUUUGCUCUAACUAGUAGUGAUAUUGUGUUUCUUCGGGAACAUGGUGUUGCUGGGUUAGAGUAAGUGAACUAUCACCAAAUACUGACUGGCACAAUGAAACUUGCUCUUAUGAGCGUGAUACACAAUGCGGCUACUCGUGUCUAAUGUCUACACAGUCAACCGUAGGGUUUAAGUUCGGCAUUUUUGAAUUUGGGCUUGCUUUCUACCAGUGGGGCAACUCCUGGUGUUGGUAUUGUCACCAUCUAAUCGGGUGUCGACUUGAUUUUGCGUUGUUUGGAUGUGCUACGAUUGGAUGUUAGAUCGAAGUGGUUUGCAAUUGAUUGGCAGUGAGUAGGUCGGCUUUCCGAACGACCCGUCUUGAAACACGGACC
Molecule: ribosomal RNA, 526 nt
Filed under: Phyllocoptes fructiphilus
Lineage: Eukaryota; Metazoa; Arthropoda; Arachnida; Trombidiformes; Eriophyidae
Description: partial large subunit ribosomal RNA
Source: RNAcentral